GAUGAAGAACGCAGCGAAAUGCGAUAAGUAAUGUGAAUUGCAGAAUUCAGUGAAUCAUCGAAUCUUUGAACGCACAUUGCGCCCCUUGGUAUUCCGAGGGGCAUGCCUGUUCGAGCGUCAUUUCAACCCUCAAGCACAGCUUGGUCUUGGGCUUCGCCGCUAACCCGGCGGGUCUUAAAAUCAGUGGCGGUGCCGUCGGGCCCUGAGCGCAGUAAUUUCUCUCGCUAUAGGGUCCCGGCGGAUGCUGGCCAGUAACCCCCAAUUUUCUAUGGUUGACCUCGGAUCAGGUAGGGAUACCCGCUGAACUUAAGCAUAUCAAUAAGCGGAGGA
Molecule: unclassified non-coding RNA, 330 nt
Filed under: soil metagenome
Description: partial contains 5.8S ribosomal RNA, internal transcribed spacer 2, and large subunit ribosomal RNA
Rfam family: 5.8S ribosomal RNA (bases 1-120)
Source: RNAcentral